UCCAGCUUCGUUUCUUCUCGUCUCUCAUACAAUUCUGCUACUUAACCCAUGCAACAUGCUAUAAUAUCGACAAGAUUGGCGUUAAGAAACAAGUUAGCUUCUGCAUGUCAAUGGGAAGCAGUUUCAAUUGCCGUUAAGAUUGACUGACUUGUUUGCGGUAACAUAGAUUCGGGAAGAACUACCUAAUCCCAUCUAUUCACCUUCAGUUAUCUUUGAUUAAUUACAGAAGACAAAUUGACGUGGUUCCAUACCAAAAUUUGGACAAAGAGGAGAAAAAUGGAACCAAGGCUUUGUCUCCUUCCAUAUGGAGAGAUCCAUCUUUAGUCAUUGUGAGUGGUUCUGUUUCUCAAUAUGCUUCCUCGUAUAACAGCUGGGUAGGCCUCGCAGUAGAGCCUUGCGCUGAUCUGGAGGCCUAUUUACUUUAAGCACCUCCUCUGCUUCAUCAUAGAGAUUUGACCACCAUAUUUUGUCAGUUUUUGGGAAACAAUGGUCAAAACUGUUGCUUCUGAAAGGAACCAAGUAAAUGGCGAAAGAGUCAGAGCACGUUCCAUAGAAAAUAACAGACCAAGCAAACUACAUUUUUUUAAUGAUGUGUAUAUAAACGACUGAACUCACUGAUAUAACUACAGAUGACAUGAAUCUGGCACCUUAAGACCACAGAAAAGAGAUAUCACACAAGAAUCUAUGCAAUAAAAAAUAAUACAAGGCACUAAACAAGCUAGCAUUGCCUGAUUCUUAUGUUGCGACAAUGCUAUUUACACACUUUAUAUGUGUACUAAGACUAGAUUGCACGUGAUGAAAUGCAUGGAACGUAUCCUAUUUUAACUACAAGCCAAAAAAUGCCAUUUAGUCUUUUGUUGUUUAUGCUUACUGUAUUUAUAUAUAUAUGUUAACAGAUAAAUUUGGUGAAAACAAAUUGGGGGAGGGGCGAUCAGUGUAAGAUCAUGGUAAAUAAGGGGUUGUUAUUGUAUUGGGGUUGAGGAUUAGUCACAAGAUUGAAUGAGGUGACUUAUCCACAAAUAAUGUGUCUUAUAGGAAGCAAAGCAUUUGAGGAUAAACCCCCUAGAAUGGGGUAGGUUUCUUAUUCUGGAAAGUCCACAAGAAUGGGCCAUUAUUUUUAGAAACAAGUAUCUAAGCCGAUCAUUAGGUGUCAACACGACAACAGCUACUCCCGUUUUCUACCCAGGGGAUAAGGAUUCACACUAUCAGUGGGGAGGAUGGAAGACGAGAUUAACCAAAGUGCUUGGGAUCAGGUAGCACUGUCAAGUGUUUGUGACCAUAAAUUGGAGAAACAGGGAAAAUGCUCUGAAACAGUUUUUAGAUUGCCAGUGAAGGUCAAGUAUAAGCAAGAGUCCUUGCUCUCGUAGUUUUCAUUCGUACAAACUUUACCAGAUGAAUUUGCUAGGCCUCCCAAACAUCUCAUGUGCCUUAUCGUAGAGAUUAGCCCUAUGAUCUUGUUCCUACUUUAGUACCUCCGGACUUUAGCCUCUUUUUCUUUGUUGGCAUGGAGAUGGGUUCUGGGAUUGCACCAUAUUAUUCUAGCGCCUCGACUU
Molecule: long non-coding RNA, 1553 nt
Filed under: Daucus carota (carrot)
Lineage: Eukaryota; Viridiplantae; Streptophyta; Magnoliopsida; Apiales; Apiaceae
Description: long non-coding RNA (DCAR_LNC003813)
Source: RNAcentral